CCUCAAAUCAGGUAGGACUACCCGCUGAACUUAAGCAUAUCAAUAAGCGGAGGAAAAGAAACUAACAAGGAUUCCCCUAGUAACUGCGAGUGAAGCGGGAAAAGCUCAAAUUUAAAAUCUGGUAGUCUUUGGCUGCCCGAGUUGUAAUCUAGAGAAGCGUUAUCCGCGCUGGACCGUGUGUAAGUCUCCUGGAAUGGAGCGUCAUAGGGGGUGAGAAUCCCGUCUUUAACACGGACUACCAGGGCUUUGUGAUGCGCUCUCAAAGAGUCGAGUUGUUUGGGAAUGCAGCUCUAAAUGGGUGGUAAAUUCCAUCUAAAGCUAAAUAUUGGCGAGAGACCGAUAGCGAACAAGUACCGUGAGGGAAAGAUGAAAAGAACUUUGGAAAGAGAGUUAAACAGUACGUGAAAUUGUUGAAAGGGAAACGCUUGAAGUCAGUCGCGUUGGUCAGGGAUCAACCUUGCUUUUUGCUUGGUGUACUUCCUGGUUAACGGGUCAGCAUCAAUUUUGACCAGUGGAAAAAGGUCAGGGGAAUGUGGCAUCUUCGGAUGUGUUAUAGCCUCUGGUCAUAUACACUGGUUGGGAUUGAGGAACUCAGCACGCCGCAAGGCCGGGGUUUACCCACGUUCGUGCUUAGGAUGCUGGCAUAAU
Molecule: ribosomal RNA, 648 nt
Filed under: uncultured Basidiomycota
Lineage: Eukaryota; Fungi; Basidiomycota
Description: LSU rRNA
Rfam family: Eukaryotic large subunit ribosomal RNA
Source: RNAcentral